This 1242-nucleotide ribosomal RNA is filed under the name Leuconostoc mesenteroides. RNAcentral describes it as "bacterial SSU rRNA". It matches the Rfam family "Bacterial small subunit ribosomal RNA", at positions 61 to 1279 of the family's 1533-position model. Lineage: Bacteria; Bacillati; Bacillota; Bacilli; Lactobacillales; Lactobacillaceae. The record is from RNAcentral.
GUCGCAACGCACAGCGAAAGGUGCUUGCACCUUUCAAGUGAGUGGCGAACGGGUGAGUAACACGUGGACAACCUGCCUCAAGGCUGGGGAUAACAUUUGGAAACAGAUGCUAAUACCGAAUAAAACUUAGUGUCGCAUGACACAAAGUUAAAAGGCGCUUCGGCGUCACCUAGAGAUGGAUCCGCGGUGCAUUAGUUAGUUGGUGGGGUAAAGGCCUACCAAGACAAUGAUGCAUAGCCGAGUUGAGAGACUGAUCGGCCACAUUGGGACUGAGACACGGCCCAAACUCCUACGGGAGGCUGCAGUAGGGAAUCUUCCACAAUGGGCGAAAGCCUGAUGGAGCAACGCCGCGUGUGUGAUGAAGGCUUUCGGGUCGUAAAGCACUGUUGUAUGGGAAGAACAGCUAGAAUAGGAAAUGAUUUUAGUUUGACGGUACCAUACCAGAAAGGGACGGCUAAAUACGUGCCAGCAGCCGCGGUAAUACGUAUGUCCCGAGCGUUAUCCGGAUUUAUUGGGCGUAAAGCGAGCGCAGACGGUUUAUUAAGUCUGAUGUGAAAGCCCGGAGCUCAACUCCGGAAUGGCAUUGGAAACUGGUUAACUUGAGUGCAGUAGAGGUAAGUGGAACUCCAUGUGUAGCGGUGGAAUGCGUAGAUAUAUGGAAGAACACCAGUGGCGAAGGCGGCUUACUGGACUGCAACUGACGUUGAGGCUCGAAAGUGUGGGUAGCAAACAGGAUUAGAUACCCUGGUAGUCCACACCGUAAACGAUGAACACUAGGUGUUAGGAGGUUUCCGCCUCUUAGUGCCGAAGCUAACGCAUUAAGUGUUCCGCCUGGGGAGUACGACCGCAAGGUUGAAACUCAAAGGAAUUGACGGGGACCCGCACAAGCGGUGGAGCAUGUGGUUUAAUUCGAAGCAACGCGAAGAACCUUACCAGGUCUUGACAUCCUUUGAAGCUUUUAGAGAUAGAAGUGUUCUCUUCGGAGACAAAGUGACAGGUGGUGCAUGGUCGUCGUCAGCUCCUGUCGUGAGAAGUUGGGGUUAAAUCCCGCCACCAGCGCAACCCUUAUUGUUAUUUGGCCGCCAUUCCAAUGGGGGCUCUAUCGAGAAUGGCCGGUGACAAACCGGAGGAAGGGGGGGGAGACAAUCAGAAAAAUAUGGCGCCUUUUAACUGGGGGUACCACCCGGCUUCAAAGGGGGUUACAACAAAUUGCCACCCCGCCGGGGGGGGGAAUCCCUUAAA